GGACAGGAGACCUGGGAGCCAUCAGUUCUUCAUCUGUCCAAACGCGGUACRGAUCUGAUCAAUAAAGCGAUGUCCCAACUGAAGCAAGAACAGACAUGCCAGGGCUGCUUGGUGUGCUGUCAUGAAUUUUAUAUUUGAUGAAAGUGGAAUAAAGUCCAAUGAGACUGCUCGUCAGUGUUAUGGAUUACCUKAUGGCAUAUUCCAGAGGUGCACUGAGUUUAUUUGAAGGAAACGGUAAUAAAAGUCGAGCUCAGGAUGUGAAA
Molecule: non-coding RNA, 263 nt
Organism: Poecilia reticulata (guppy)
Lineage: Eukaryota; Metazoa; Chordata; Actinopteri; Cyprinodontiformes; Poeciliidae
Source: RefSeq, a predicted model, not a curated record